CGCGCUCCCGGCCCGAGCGGGUGCUGGGAGGAGCGAAACCGCUUCCCGGGCCAGCCUACCCCAGGAUGUGGCAGAGGAGGGCUGGCCCGAUACUCGGGGAGCCUGGGAAGGCAGCCGGCCUCGGCCCGGCCCGUCCGCGGGCCUCCGCACACGUGCACUCUCUCUGCAUUGCUAAUCAGGACCUCUAAGGAGCCUAGGUGGCGCUAGUCCCCUCUCUUGAAACCUUUGUAACUAUUAAGGCUGAAGUGCCAUUUAAAGAAAAAGGAAGGCAAAGAAAUGAGCUAUAGGAAGCCAUGAGUCUGUUACUGAGACAAGAGGAAGCUCAUCCUGUCCCGACAGCCGCAGAGUGAGUUGGCAUGACACGCCGUGAGAUCUCACGCUCACGUGAUACCCCUUGAGCCUGCAAGGAUCAUGAAGAUGGGAAAUCAGUGUCUCAGAGUGGUAGCCCUCUGAAGAUAGCCUACAAGUUAUAUUACCAUAAUAGGUCAACCUGACCCUUUCAGAAAAAAUUCCUACACCUCUGAAGCAAAUUAAAAAGGAGAAGGAGGAGAAGCAGUUAGGAGUCCUUUCUUUAUUUUAAAAUGAUUAGCUAACCACAUAAAGGUAUUGUUCCUUAAGCUACAUCAGUUCUCUGCAUUGAAAGAAACAAUUAAUUUGAAAAUGCAUGUGAAUAAUUUUACUUGGAUGUUUGUGUUCAGCUACAAAGUUCUUUUGACAAUUAAGUCCUAAGAGCCCACCGUGGGUCCAGGACUGUUCUGAGUAUGGUGGAAGAAGGAAAAGAAUCUUGAAGGUGGGGACUUUUUGUCCCUAAGGAAUUGAUAGCCCAGUAGAGGGACAUAAGGGCCUUAAUAAAAUAAUAGUAUCAGACACUUCCCUUAUGCCAUGCACUGUGCUCAGAGCUUUGCAAGGAUUAUUUAAUCUCAGAAGCCCAGUGAAUUAGCUACUGUUAUUUUUCUGUAUUUUUGACAGGAUGAAAUCAAGGUUUGUGUGGUUUACUGAAAUCUCGAAGUGCCGUGAGGAUUAUGAAAAAUCAUAGGCACUAUAUCGGGUUUCGAUAUUGUUUCCUACUUAAAAAAAGAAGAAGAAGGAAAAAACCAAACAAACAAAGCAAAAAACAAAACAAAACAUCAGUAUUUUGAACCAGACAGAAGUUUUCCUCUCUCAUAAACCAACUCUGAAGGCAGACAGUAACUGACCCGGCAGCACACCUCCCCUUAAACACCCCGACUUCCCUGUCUCCAAGGGAUCUGGGAAAUGUAAACUUAAAAAAAAAUUUUUUUAAACAGGUGGUCAUGUGCCCAGCUAAAAACUGGGGCUUCAGCGACUAAGGGUAAAGAGAACAAAUGUUGUGUUAGCAAAGCAACUUGCUUCUCUGCCAUAUCUAUGUGCCCCUCUGCGGGGCACAGGAUAGACAAAACACGUUUUCCGUAAAUCAUAGCUGUGAAACUCAAAGCAGCUUAGAAGUGGCUUGGUUUGUUGGUUUAAAUACAACUAUUUCUGCCUGAGGUUUUCCCUUUUCUAGAUGGAUGCCAUAUCCUUAAAUAGGCAAAUGAGUGAGAAGGGAAGGUGUGCUCUGGACAGGGCUUGCCUCUCCUUUUCCUCCCCCAGAUAUGCCAGGUGGUUUGUCCCAAGGUUUGCAGCUGUGGAAAGGUGGCAGAAAGCCAUGUCAGUGCAAAACAAAAGAUACUGCCUGGGUCCGGGCAUUUCCCAACCUAGUUUUCUACUUACUUCCUGUGCCUUCUUUCAGGGACUAUAAAUGAUACCUCCAAUCCCUGGCAAGUGGAGAGCAUCUGGGGAGCCACACUGCAUAAUUCCGGGGGACACACAGUCAUAGGGCUCGGAGGUGUCCUUUUAGAUGGAGGGCUACAAGCCUGGCACCCCCGGAGGGCUGUGUCUUGACUCACUCUGUGCAUUUGUUUUGAAGAGUUUCCCAAGGAUCAUCUCAAUCUCACAAAUUCCUAGAUCGAGAGAAGGCUCCCAGGUCACAAAAUGUUUCCACUGUGUGGAUCUGAGGAGUCGUUUCCAGCUUUUUAAAACCCUCUGAGGUGCCUUUAGGUCUGAGACUCUAUGCUGAGCACAGUUGGCUUAUCUGAGCAGUGGAGGGGUAGCGGGGCAGGGAGCGUUACUGAGAAAACUCGGGUAGGUUAGAGGGACAGGAGGAGGGGGCUGGAUGGUGCGGAUACAGGCUGGAAUUUCCAGCUGCUUCAUACAUUGGGCCAGGAAGGGGUGGAGGAGGAAAAAGAAGGGAGAGGUAAGGCCCAGAUCCUUCCAUUGCCUCGUGAGCACAUCUGAACUGGUACCAAAGUCUUCCCGAGCCUCUCACCAUCUGCCCCACGGAGGGUCACUGCAGGCGUGCAUGUACGACUUCACGUAAACUGGAAAAAGACGCCCCAUCCUCCAGUGGACUCAGUCCUGUGCUAGGACUCAGGGAGUGGCAAGUGAGGCUCUGGCUGGCUUUGCAGCUCCCACUCAUCUCCUUGGCUGGGAGCCCUUGAGCAGCGAACAGUCUGCACGUUCUUAAGUGGGGGGACUCUGUGGGGUCAGUUCACUUAUCGCCAUCCCCACAGUGCCUCCUGUCCUCAUCCAACUUCUCCAUCUCUCAUCCCUCACUUGGACGUGCUUCGUCGUGACAGAUAACUCUGAGAGCCACUUACAGGCUCCCAUUUAGCCCUUCGUGUUGUCAAGUAAGGUUACACAUUUAUUCCUAGAGAUACAGUGGCCGGAUGAAAAGGGUUUCAUCAUGUUGGUUUUAAACUUGUGAUCUGUUAACAGAUCACACAGCUGGAGGGCACUAUAAAUUAAUUAAAAAUAAG
Molecule: long non-coding RNA, 2813 nt
Organism: Mustela lutreola (European mink)
Lineage: Eukaryota; Metazoa; Chordata; Mammalia; Carnivora; Mustelidae
Exons: 4
Source: RefSeq, a predicted model, not a curated record